Molecule: unclassified non-coding RNA, 223 nt
Filed under: plant metagenome
Description: partial contains small subunit ribosomal RNA, internal transcribed spacer 1, and 5.8S ribosomal RNA
Source: RNAcentral
UCUCCGUUGGUGAACCAGCGGAGGGAUCAUUAUCGAGUGUUACAACUCCCACACCCUUCCUGAACCACUCCUCUCGUAGCUUCGGCGGUACCGCCCCGGCGCCUCUGCCCGCCGGGCACCGCGCCCGCCCGGGGCCCGAGACUAUUGCCUUCUCAGUGGUAUUCUCUCUGAGUGGCACAAGCAAAAUAAAUUAAAACUUUCAACAACGGAUCUCUUGGUUCUG